Molecule: long non-coding RNA, 142 nt
Organism: Thrips palmi
Lineage: Eukaryota; Metazoa; Arthropoda; Insecta; Thysanoptera; Thripidae
Exons: 2
Source: RefSeq, a predicted model, not a curated record
AGUCUCCGAUGUCAGAGACAAUGCCCUAUUCACAUGGGACGACGCGGUGUUCACUUCGCGAGGAGCUUCGAUUUCAACAACAGAUGCAGUUGGGUGUGGGGAAUGGGACAUAGCACUUGACUUUAAUAAAGUUUUGACUUGA